RNAcentral lists this ribosomal RNA (446 nucleotides) under uncultured bacterium. RNAcentral's name for it is "bacterial SSU rRNA". It matches the Rfam family "Bacterial small subunit ribosomal RNA", at positions 355 to 825 of the family's 1533-position model. The record is from RNAcentral.
UGGGGAAUAUUGGACAAUGGGCGCAAGCCUGAUCCAGCCAUGCCGCGUGAGUGAUGAAGGUCUUCGGAUUGUAAAACUCUUUCGCCGGGGAAGAUAAUGACGGUACCCGGAGAAGAAGCUCCGGCUAACUUCGUGCCAGCAGCCGCGGUAAUACGAAGGGAGCUAGCGUUGUUCGGAAUUACUGGGCGUAAAGCGCACGUAGGCGGAUUUUAAGUCAGGGGUGAAAUCCCAAGGCUCAACCUUGGAACUGCCUUUGAUACUGGAAGUCUUGAGAUCGGGAGAGGUGAGUGGAAUUCCUAGUGUAGAGGUGAAAUUCGUAGAUAUUAGGAAGAACACCAGUGGCGAAGGCGGCUCACUGGCCCGAUACUGACGCUGAGGUGCGAAAGCGUGGGGAGCAAACAGGAUUAGAUACCCAAGUAGUCCCUGAGCGGGCUGGCAAGGCGCAU